UGGCUUCAUUCUUGAAGUCAGUGAGACCAAGAACCCACCAAUUCCGGACACAAUACUAUUGGAUGUAUGUUUGUCUGGUGUUUUCUUUGAAGACAGAAUCAGAGAGGCUCAGCAAGUGCCAGAACUCAAAUUCAAGUGCAACUCUGCCUGAUGGAAACUCAGGUGAUUUCCACUCUGCCUCCACCUGCAUUCCUCAGCACCAUGCAGUUGGUCCCCAGACUCUAUGCUCCAUGCUGCUUGUGUUUGUUGGUUGGCUGGUUUUGUGUUCAUGUGUUCUGGCUUCUUCAUUUUGGGUCUUUACAUCUUUACAUCUCUAGCAGUUCUUCCCAUGUUGUGUAGCAGUUGUCUCUACAUGACGGUCUGUCUUGUGAGGUUGAGCUCCCUGAAGGCAGCAAGCAUGUAAUUGGUAAAUUCUCAUCAGUUAGCCAUGUCUGGAACAUGGUAGGUAUUCAAUAAAGGUUUUUGCUCAU
Molecule: long non-coding RNA, 470 nt
Filed under: Homo sapiens (human)
Lineage: Eukaryota; Metazoa; Chordata; Mammalia; Primates; Hominidae
Description: HSALNT0402806
Source: RNAcentral